This 295-nucleotide ribosomal RNA is filed under the name uncultured bacterium. RNAcentral describes it as "partial 16S ribosomal RNA". It matches the Rfam family "Bacterial small subunit ribosomal RNA", at positions 775 to 1067 of the family's 1533-position model. The record is from RNAcentral.
GGAUUAGAUACCCUGGUAGUCCAUGCUGUAAACGAUGUCGACUAGCCGUUGGCCUUAUUAAAUGAGGUUAGUGGCGCAGCAAACGCGAUAAGUCGACCGCCUGGGGAGUACGGUCGCAAGAUUAAAACUCAAAGGAAUUGACGGGGGCCCGCACAAGCGGUGGAGCAUGUGGUUUAAUUCGAUGCAACGCGAAGAACCUUACCUGCCCUUGACAUAGAGCGAACCUGGUAGAGAUAUCGGGGUGCCGAAAGGAACGUUCAUACAGGUGCUGCAUGGCUGUCGUCAGCUCGUGCCG